ACGCUCGACACCUACGGGGGGCAGCAGUGGGGAAUAUUGCACAAUGGGGGGAACCCUGAUGCAGCGACGCCGCGUGGAGGAAGAAGGUCUUCGGAUUGUAAACUCCUGUUGUUGGGGAAAAAGAGGAUGGUACCCAACAAGGAAGUGACGGCUAACUACGUGCCAGCAGCCGCGGUAAUCUGAGCGGGCUGGCAAGGC
RNAcentral lists this ribosomal RNA (198 nucleotides) under uncultured bacterium. Its description in RNAcentral is "partial 16S ribosomal RNA". It matches the Rfam family "Bacterial small subunit ribosomal RNA", at positions 328 to 539 of the family's 1533-position model. The record is from RNAcentral.